CCUACGGGAGGCAGCAGUGGGGAAUAUUGCGCACUGGGCGAAAGCCUGACGCAGCGACGCCGCGUGAGGGAUGAAGGUCCUCGGAGCGUAAACCUCUGUCAGCAGGGAAGAACGGUCACUGUGCUAAUCAGCAGUGAAUUGACGGUACCUGCAAAGGAAGCACCGGCUAACUCCGUGCCAGCAGCCGCGGUAAUACGGGGGGUGCGAUCGGUAAUCGGAAUUUCUGGGCGUAAAGCGCUCGUAGGCGGUAUGUCAAGUCAAGGGUGAAAUCCCCGCGCUCAACGUGGGAACUGCCUUUGAAACUGGCAAACUGGAGUGUGUGAGAGGAUAGUGGAAUUCCAGGUGGAGGAGUGAAAUCCGUAGAUAUCUGGAAGAACAUCAGUGGCGAAGGCGACUAUCUGGCACAUAACUGACGCUGAGGAGCGAAAGCGUGGGUAGCAAACAGGAGUAGAUACCCCUGUAGUC
RNAcentral lists this ribosomal RNA (465 nucleotides) under uncultured bacterium. RNAcentral's name for it is "partial 16S ribosomal RNA". It matches the Rfam family "Bacterial small subunit ribosomal RNA", at positions 338 to 795 of the family's 1533-position model. The record is from RNAcentral.